UCGUAUUCGAUUGGGUGCCUGGAUUUAUGAGAAAUCCUUCCUCAUCCUAGAUCGUUUCAAAGCUCUCUAAUCGUUCGAUACAUCGGGUUUCAUCCUGGAGAAAUUCGAUCUGCAAGCUCGGUCCGUAUCGGUUCGCUAAGCAAUCUGCCGAUGCUCGACGUCAUAUAGGAUUUGAUUUCUCAUCUAGUGGCCUUGUCGUCAUCGGGUUAUGGUAUUCGGAUCCUAAAAGGCUGUGAUUUUCUCAUUGGAGGCUUCAUCUUCGUCAGAUCGUGGCAGAUUCCUCCUUUUUGAAGGUUUUUGAUUGAAUCAGUUUGAGAAGCAGACAUUCAAAGCACUAAUCUUGUUUGAUCUCUUAUCAAUUUGGAGCGAUUGUGUACUAGAUAUUUGACAAAAUGGGAUUUGAGGCUUUUGAAUUGUGAUGCGUACCAGAUGUUCAAUGAAAUGCCAAAGGGAGACAUGCAUGGGAUGUGUACUGGAUGUUCAACGAAAUGGGAUUUGAGGCUUUUGAAUUGUGAUGCGUACCAGAUGCUCAAUGAAAUGCCAAAGGGAGACAUGCAUGGGAUGUGUACUGGAUGUUCAACGAAAUGGGAUUUGAGGCUUUUGAAUUGUGAUGCGUACCCGAUGUUCAAUGAAAUGCCAAAGGGAGACAUUCAUGCCAAAUGUUUGAUAUGAUAACUCAUAGAAACUUGGUAUUUUCUUGUUGUUUGUGCUCCAUGUGAUUCCAACUCCAUACCAAGGAAAGAACAAUUAGCAUGUUAUUUUUUAGUGGUAUUGGACAUUUUAAUUGCGACCUUGCUUUGCAUCCUCUAAUGCUUUUAUUUACUGUUCAAUGCAGGGAUAUGUGUGCUCAACAUGGCAAAGUAGGCAUUUUCAAUAACGAUGGGAAAAACUGAUGCAGGCUAAUGCAGGGGGUUUUGGCAUAGUUGAUGUAAGCUGAAGCAGGGGGUUUUGGCAUAGGAUGAGAAUUGGAUGCUAGGAAAUUCACUUCUAUUUGUUUUCUUAAAAAUCUGUGUGAAUUUUCUACUCAUGAGAUUUUUUCUACUUGAAAGAAAGGGAGUUUGUAAUGCAGGGGCAAGUGGUUAAUUGUCCUGCAUCAGUUUGGAAUUUAGUUCUGUCAAUUAGUUUGUCGUUCUCUGGUCAGAUAGGUGAUGGAUUUUAAUUGAGCAGAAGAUAGAGUUCUAGAUGAAGGUCUUAAGUCGAACCAGAAGAUAAGAGUGAAAUAAAAUUAUAUGAUAAACACUUUAGAUGAAGCAGAGCAGCUUGCUGAACGUUCAAUCUGGAAAGAAUUGGUCUGAACUAUUAAGUUGUCAAAAUUCAAAAUUGGCUAAAACUUAAUUUGUAGUCUAACAUCGAUGUUCUGAACACAUCUUAAUGGUUCAGAUUGUGAUUUUGAUCAAUGGAUCAUAAAGAUUUGAUCACCCCUCCCCCUCCAAACAGAAAGACAAGGACAAAAAAUCAUCGGCCCAGUAGCUGUAUCUGUUUGUGUCUGUUGUGGCUCACAAUAAAACCCUUAUUUAGAAGCUUACUGGUUUUGCAUUGAUUGCUUGCCAAAAUGUAUAAGCUGAAAAAAAAGUUCUCAAAUAUUCUUUUGCAGGGAAGGCAUUAUCAUGGAGAGCUAGAGAAUCUACACCAGGCUAUGUCAUGGGUUAUAAUGGCAGUCAAUUAUGGGACACUGCUUUCACUAUUCAGGCAAUAAUCUCAACUAGCCUUCUUGAGGAAUUUGGUCCAACUCUUAAGAAAGCGCAUGAGUACAUAAAGAAUUCGCAGGUUUUGGAAGACUGCCCUGGUGAUCUUAGUUUCUGGUAUUGUCACGUUUCUAAAGGUGCAUGGCCUUUCUCAACUAGAGAUCAUGGAUGGUCCAUAUCAGAUUGCACUGCAAAAGGUUUAAAGGCUUCACUCUUGUUGUCGCAGAUUCCAUCAAAAACUGUUGGUGAACCAAUCGAUGCAAAUAGAUUGUACGACGCGGUGAAUGUCAUUCUUUGACUACACGAAUUCGGAUGCCAAGAAGACAUGAUGUUCUGUGGUGUGUUUGAUGGCCAUGGCCCUUGGGGACACUAUGUAGCAAAAAGGGUCAGAGAAUCACUACCAUCGUCUCUGCUUUGCAAUUGGCAGGAGACUGUUGCUAUGAGCUCAAUUACAUCAGAAUUCCUUUUGGAAUCUAAUAAAAUGAUUAAUCGAUUUGACAUUUGGAAGGAAUCCUAUUUGAGAACUUAUUGAAAUGAGUGAUUCACUUGGGCAAAUGAAUCAUAACCUUGAAGGUUUGAAGAGUGAUCUGAAUGAAGUUACUAAGGGUAGGGAUUGCCUUGAUUCUGAGGUACUUGUCUUGAAAGAGCAGCUAGAAAUGGCACAAGCUUUUGCUGAAGAAAAUGAAGCAAUUGCUACAGAAGCUCGACAGAUGGCUGAGGCAAGGAAGAACUAUGCCGAAGAGGAGGAGGAGGUGAAGCUAUUAGAGAAGUCUGUGGAAGAGCUAGAAUAUACCGUAAAUGUAUUGGAAAAUAGGGGGGAGCAUGUCAAAGGGGAGGCUGAAAUGCAACGGUUGCAGAGAGAGGAGCUAAAAGGGGACCCUACUGAAACAGUUCAUGUGGAAGGCUAUGUGGUAGUUCAUGUGCAAUUGUAUUUUGUUUUGAAAACUUUAAAUAGACCAUUAAUUGUUUUGUUGAUAUUGUGCUGAUUGUUGUCUUGAUGAAUGUUAAAUGGGUGAAAUAUGCA
This is an RNA transcript of Magnolia sinica, 2709 nucleotides long. It is a transcript of the gene named kinesin-like protein KIN-12F, with no coding region annotated. NCBI's taxonomy places the organism in Eukaryota, Viridiplantae, Streptophyta, Magnoliopsida, Magnoliales, Magnoliaceae. The record is from RefSeq and is a predicted model, not a curated record. The transcript has 7 exons.